AGAGACCGGCGCACGGGUGCGUAACGCGUAUGCAAUCUACCUUUCACAGAGGGAUAGCCCAGAGAAAUUUGGAUUAAUACCUCAUAGUAUAGCAGUUUCGCAUGAAACCACUAUUAAAGUCACAACGGUGAAAGAUGAGCAUGCGUCCCAUUAGUUAGUUGGUAAGGUAACGGCUUACCAAGACUACGAUGGGUAGGGGUCCUGAGAGGGAGAUCCCCCACACUGGUACUGAGACACGGACCAGACUCCUACGGGAGGCAGCAGUGAGGAAUAUUGGACAAUGGGCGCAAGCCUGAUCCAGCCAUGCCGCGUGCAGGAUGACGGUCCUAUGGAUUGUAAACUGCUUUUAUACGAGAAGAAACAACUCUACGUGUAGAGUCUUGACGGUAUCGUAAGAAUAAGGAUCGGCUAACUCCGUGCCAGCAGCCGCGGUAAUACGGAGGAUCCAAGCGUUAUCCGGAAUCAUUGGGUUUAAAGGGUCCGUAGGCGGUCAGAUAAGUCAGUGGUGAAAGCCCAUCGCUCAACGGUGGAACGGCCAUUGAUA
RNAcentral lists this ribosomal RNA (544 nucleotides) under uncultured Flavobacterium sp. Its description in RNAcentral is "bacterial SSU rRNA". It matches the Rfam family "Bacterial small subunit ribosomal RNA", at positions 90 to 632 of the family's 1533-position model. The record is from RNAcentral. Lineage: Bacteria; Pseudomonadati; Bacteroidota; Flavobacteriia; Flavobacteriales; Flavobacteriaceae.